UAUGUGAUCGUCUCUCGCAUAUCAAUAAGCGGAGGAAAAGAAACUAACAAGGAUUCCCCUAGUAACGGCGAGUGAAGCGGGAAGAGCUCAAAUUUGAAAUCUUAAAGGGUUUCCCUUUACGAAUUGUAGUUUAAAGAAGUGUUUUCUGUUGAGGUUUUGGUAAAAGUUCUUUGGAAUAGGACAUCAUAGAGGGUGAGAAUCCCGUAUUUGACCUUUACUUUCAACUUUGUGAUACACUUUCAAAGAGUCGGAUUGUUUGGGAAUGCAGUCCAAAAUGGGUGGUAAAUUUCAUCUAAAGCUAAAUAUUGGCGAGAGACCGAUAGCGAACAAGUACCGUGAGGGAAAGAUGAAAAGAACUUUGAAAAGAGAGUUAAACAGUACGUGAAAUUGUCAAAAGGGUAGCGUUUGACACCAGUGUUGUUUUUCUGAAAAUCAAUUAAAGAACUGUUUAUGCUAAGCUGUUUAGACUUUAUCAGCUAUCUGUUUAGUUUUGAGCUUUUCUUUAAUGCACUUUUCAGUUAACAAGUCAACAUCAAUUUCUUUUGCUGUAAAAAAGCUUGAGGAAGGUGGCUUGAGAUUCGUCUUAAGUGUUUAUAGCCUCUUGCCUAUGCAGUCGGAGAGAUUGAGGUCUGCAGCGUAGAUCCUUCGGGGCUAAAUGCAUUUGUGCUAAGUUAUAGCAUUUUAUAGACAACUUGUUGACUAUGAUUUGUCUUGUAGCUUACUCGCUUAUGUUAUUUUACCUACGCUUAGGAUGUUGAUCUGUAGUGCGUGCGC
This 774-nucleotide ribosomal RNA is filed under the name uncultured Neocallimastigales. Its description in RNAcentral is "partial large subunit ribosomal RNA". It matches the Rfam family "Eukaryotic large subunit ribosomal RNA", at positions 24 to 647 of the family's 3401-position model. Lineage: Eukaryota; Fungi; Neocallimastigomycota; Neocallimastigomycetes; Neocallimastigales. The record is from RNAcentral.